UUGCAUAUGUUUACAGAAUGCUAGAGAGGAGAACGGAUCCACCAUGUGCGUGCACUGCCGCUGGCUGGGCUUAGGCAUUAGACCAACUCCAUCGGUCGGUUGAGGAAGGGGUUCUAAACCCAAAAAAUGAAAAAAAUAAAUCAAAAAUGGUUUUAUUAGAAAGAACCGCUGCCAAACUAAGAGAGUUUAGAGUUGGGUAAAACCCCAUACGUAGCAGGAGCGUAUUGGGCGAUGCAUUUUACGGGAAAUAAAUGUCGUCUCUUUCUCUUUCUCUUUCUCUUUCUCUUUCUCUUUCUCUUUCAGUUCAUCUCGACAUCUCUUCGCCUUCGCUUUUUCAAAAAUCUCCGAGGGAGACGAUCUUUCAUCUGUUUGUUCGUCGAUGAUCAUGACUCUCUCUUGUUCGAUUUCCUCGAAAUCACAUCCUCGGGUCUCUCUCUUCCUCGUUGAUUCCGUCGAAACCUCGAAUGGAGAUGUCGUUUGAUUCGUUUUUUUCUUCGUCGAUGUUCUCCCCCAGACUCGUGCAUGCAAUCACCAUGAAAAUCGAUAGGGGAGUUGUGGUUUUAGCAGCGACGAAGGGACUAUGGAGACGAUGAUGAACAGAGGCUCAUGUUUUUUGCUUGUCGAAUCCGAUGACUCAACUCGCCAAAUUGUCACUGCCCUGCUUCAAUAGUUCAAUUACAAAGGUCAUUGCUUUACUCUAUUUAAUUGUUUGAUGUGUUAAAGGUUCUUUCUUUGUCUUGAUUUUGAAGUUUGAGUAGACUCUGGUUUUGAUUCAAAACACUUAAUUGAUUAAAUCUUUAUUGUUUUACUCUGUUCCAAGUUUCAUAAGUUAACUAUAGUGUUGGGUUUUUAUUUGAAAUGACAAGGUUAGCUGUGUGGGUAACAGUAAAGGAGAAGAGACAUGGACAAAGGUCUUGCUGGGAGCAGCAAGAUACGGAUCACGCGUCAUCAAAGCGGAUCAAACCUGUCAACAGGUGUACCGAGGCCUUGAUGUUGGAUCAGCCAAGCCAUCAGGUGAAGACUUGUGACACAAGAGAAGACUCGAUUCUGUAGUUUGCUUACUGGUGUCAUCACUCUUUGUUGUCAAACAUUUAGAACCCCAUUGGGGUUCUCCCAUUGGAGGUCAAAAUAUUAAUUACCAUUAACCAAGGUUCUUCAGCUUUCAAAUCACCUUUUUAAUUCUUAAAUUAAUCUGAAGAACCCAUAAGAGGUUCCUAUGGA
Brassica rapa (field mustard) is the source of this 1221-nucleotide long non-coding RNA. RefSeq lists it as uncharacterized. The record is from RefSeq and is a predicted model, not a curated record. NCBI's taxonomy places the organism in Eukaryota, Viridiplantae, Streptophyta, Magnoliopsida, Brassicales, Brassicaceae.